RNAcentral lists this ribosomal RNA (253 nucleotides) under uncultured bacterium. RNAcentral's name for it is "partial 16S ribosomal RNA". It matches the Rfam family "Bacterial small subunit ribosomal RNA", at positions 524 to 776 of the family's 1533-position model. The record is from RNAcentral.
UACAUGGGGUGCAAACGUUGCUCGGAAUUAUUGGGCGUAAAGCGCGCGUAGGCGGUUACUCAAGUCGGAUGUGAAAGCCCUCGGCUUAACUGAGGAAGUGCACCCGAAACUGAGUAGCUAGAGUACUAAAGAGGGUCGCGGAAUUCCCGGUGUAGAGGUGAAAUUCGUAGAUAUCGGGAGGAACACCGGUGGCGAAGGCAGGUCUCUGGGCUGACACUGACGCUCAUGCACGAAAGCGUGGGGAGCAAACAGG